AGAGUUUGAUCCUGGCUCAGAUUGAACGCUGGCGGCGUGCCUAACACAUGCAAGUCGAGCGGUAACAGGUGUAGCAAUACAUGCUGACGAGCGGCGAACGGGUGAGUAAUGCUUCGGAAUCUACCCAGUAGUGGGGAAUAACCAACCGAAAGGUUGGCUAAUACCGCAUACGUCCUACGGGAGAAAGCGGGGGAUCGCAAGACCUCGCGCUAUCGGAUGAGCCGAAGCCGGAUUAGCUAGUUGGUAGGGUAACGGCCUACCAAGGCGACGAUCCGUAGCUGGUCUGAGAGGACGACCAGCCACACUGGGACUGAGACACGGCCCAGACUCCUACGGGAGGCAGCAGUGGGGAAUAUUGGACAAUGGGGGAAACCCUGAUCCAGCGACGCCGCGUGUGUGAAGAAGGCCUGCGGGUUGUAAAGCACUUUUAGUGGGGAUGAAAAGUGCAGAGCUAACACCUCUGCAUCUUGACCUAACCCACAGAAAAAGCACCGGCUAACUCUGUGCCAGCAGCCGCGGUAAUACAGAGGGUGCGAGCGUUAAUCGGAAUUACUGGGCGUAAAGCGUGCGUAGACGGUAAUGUAAGUCGGGUGUGAAAGCCCCAGGCUCAACCUGGGAAUUGCAUUCGAGACUGCAUUGCUUGGGUGCGGAAGAGGGAAGCGGAAUUUCCGGUGUAGCGGUGAAAUGCGUAGAUAUCGGAAGGAACACCAGUGGCGAAAGCGGCUUCCUGGUCCGACACCGACGUUCAGGCACGAAAGCGUGGGGAGCAAACAGGAUUAGAUACCCUAGUAGUCC
This 795-nucleotide ribosomal RNA is filed under the name uncultured bacterium. RNAcentral's name for it is "bacterial SSU rRNA". It matches the Rfam family "Bacterial small subunit ribosomal RNA", at positions 8 to 796 of the family's 1533-position model. The record is from RNAcentral.